Long non-coding RNA from Glycine soja, 612 nucleotides. RefSeq lists it as uncharacterized. The record is from RefSeq and is a predicted model, not a curated record. NCBI's taxonomy places the organism in Eukaryota, Viridiplantae, Streptophyta, Magnoliopsida, Fabales, Fabaceae. The transcript is spliced from 3 exons.
UCAAAAUUGCAACUCCUCAUUAUUCAAUAUUGUGGUCGGCAACAAGGCUGUUUCUUAUAAAUUCUCGUUGGAUCUUCCUGACAUUAACUCUGCACAUAUCUUGAGGUACCGGCAACCGAUACGCAGCAUCAUCCCUCAGGAUUGUAGAAUCUUCCAGAAUCAUUCUUCAGACGUAAUCUCUCAGGUACCAGCAACCGAUACGCAGCAUCAUCCCUCAGGAUUGUAGAAUCUUCCAGAAUCAUUCUUCAGACGUAAUCUCUCAGGUAAGUGGGCUUCGAGACCUUCCUCUUAGUGCUACUUACUAUUCGCACCUCUGGCUCUGUUUGCAUUACGUGUUCUGCACCAUUUUCCACUACUUGCACCUUAGUAAUUGCUAUACUAUCAUUAAACAUGAGCUUUUUUCAACUCUCCUAAUAGUGGCAUUUAUUAGUGAAGGUAGGGGAAUGAUCCUAGAUAGAUUGAAAAUAUUAAGCAAGGAAAACAAAUGUAGAAAUUCUUAAAAAAUGAAAUAAGAAGUCACAUUCUCUAGACGCCAAAGAAGAGCAGUUUUGAAUUGGCAAACACCACUCCCACUUGAAUGCAGAUCUAGUCUGUGAACAAUAGACAUAGUAA